UACGUAGGAUGCAAGCGUUGUCCGGAUUUAUUGGGAUUAAAGGGUGCGUAGGCGGCGUAUUAAGUUAGUGGUGAAAACGUUAGGCUUAACCGGAUACCCGCCAUUGAUACUGAUAGACUUGAGUGCGACAGAGGGUGUUGGAAUGUGUGGUGUAGCGGUGAAAUGCUUAGAUAUCACGCAGAACACCAAUUGCGAAGGCAGAUGCCUAUGUCGUAACUGACGCUGAGGCACGAAAGCGUGGGGAGCAAACAGG
This 253-nucleotide ribosomal RNA is filed under the name uncultured bacterium. Its description in RNAcentral is "partial 16S ribosomal RNA". It matches the Rfam family "Bacterial small subunit ribosomal RNA", at positions 524 to 776 of the family's 1533-position model. The record is from RNAcentral.